CACAGGUGGCCACUACGCGCACAGGAGGGGCAGCGACUGGGGGGUUCCGGUACCCCAAGGCACCCUCUCGGAUCGCUAGAGAAGGCUUUCUCACCAAGGGCGCGUCGACCCCCACCCAAUUCGUCCCCCCCAUCGGGAACCCGCCAAACAAAAGGCGUUUCUUCCCGGGGCCACCAGGACCCAGGGCGGGGGAGAAAGGUCCACGGCAACGGAGUGACACAGGGCAUUCCGGAGCAUUCGCGGUCAGGGCCCACAACAAGGGCCGCCUGCCUUCCCCACGCGCGCUGUUGCUCGUGUCGCCGCCCGGAAGGAGCGCCGCGCCUCCGGGUGAGGCCCGAGAAAAACCGAGGCAAAACACCGGCAGCAACGCGCUGGGCAAGAAACCGACAGUCCUCGCUCAGAGGGGGGUUUUGGCCAAGCGCCACGGCGCCGGCUCGGCCCGCCACGAUCGCUCAACUCGCCCCACCAAGUCAGUCCCCCGCACCCUCCGGGCAACAGCGGCCGUUGCGGGGCGGGAACGACAAGGCGCCCGCUCCCCACAGCGGGGGGAACGGGUGUGCCUCCCUUCACCGAUUCUGCCACCCGCCCACCUCGGGCAUCUCCGCCAAUGGCGGUGACCCAAAGGGGGGUCCGCUGGGAACAGGGAACGGCACCACCACUCGGCUUCAGGCACCUGAGACGACCUGGAGCGCUCCAGGGGCACCACGGAGGGCCAGGCGCCACGCGCUCAGCACGCCCAGGCGGCGAGCAGCGUGGCAUCGGGUGCGCCCCCCCCACCACGGGGAGGAGGUCACCCACCACAAACAGCCAGGAGAGGCCAGCGAGAGUGUCCGCUGCGUCAGCCGACCCCAGUCCCGCAGCGACGGGAGGCCGGGGUCGGGCCGGAGUCCGCACCCCUCUGCACCCCCCCGCACCGCCCACAGGCGGGAAGGAGGAGCAUGGGGCCCGCAGGCAGAACGAGAAGAGCGGUCCCACCCACCAGGAGUGUCCGUCCCUCGUCUGACACGGCUUAGGCCCGGCCCGGGAGAGCGCGAGAUCACCACAUCGAUCGGUUACCGCCACACGAGGCAGUCCUGGGGUGAGGGGGGGCUGGGGAAACGCCCGGCGAGGACAGCGACCAGAGGAGGGCCUGCUUCCGCCUCGCCGGCCCCCCUCCCCCACCUCUCCCAGGGAACAGGCAGCCGGACAACCCACAAGAGAAAAGGGGAACGCCUGACACGCGGCACGGAGCCUUGCGAGGGUGGGUUUGUCACGGCCGCGGCCGGGUGCCCACAGCGGGGAGCGCACAGGGUAGAAGACCCACGCCGCCUCCCCACGCCGCCCUCGGGUGCCAGAGACCGGAGGUGGCGCCACAGCCUGGACCACACCUGGAUGCACAAGAGCCGGCGCGCAGGCCCAGGCAGACGGCUCGAGCAAGCAGGCAGGCAAGGGCGGAGUCGGGUCCGGCUCAGCGUCACCGCCAAGCCCGGAGCCACGCCAGGGACGACGAGGCCCAAGUCUCUCUUACGGCAUGACCACCGCCACAUCAGAACGUGUCAGCACCUACCUGGCAGCAAAAAGCACCCCUUUCAGGAGACAAAAAUAACCGCGUUGGCAGGCGGGGCCGAGCCACAGGUCACUGGGACCUUCUGGGACCCUGGCCCGGCCACGAGCCCCAAGCAUCUUCCCAUUGCCGCCGAGCAACCACCUCCCCCCCGGAAGUCCCCGGGGGCCAUCUGGUCGACCCCAGGACCGACCGACCGACCGACCGACCGACCGACCGACCGACCGACCGACCGACCGACCGACCGACCGACCGACCGACCGACCGACCGACCGACCGACCGACCGACCGACCGA
RNAcentral lists this long non-coding RNA (1839 nucleotides) under Felis catus (domestic cat). RNAcentral's name for it is "lncRNA (ENSFCAG00000047652.1)". Lineage: Eukaryota; Metazoa; Chordata; Mammalia; Carnivora; Felidae. The record is from RNAcentral.